Molecule: ribosomal RNA, 251 nt
Filed under: uncultured bacterium
Lineage: Bacteria
Description: partial 16S ribosomal RNA
Rfam family: Bacterial small subunit ribosomal RNA
Source: RNAcentral
CCAAAGCUGGCGACCGGCGCACGGGUGAGUAACACGUAUCCAACCUGCCUCAUACUCGGGGAUAGCCUUUCGAAAGAAAGAUUAAUAUCCGAUAGUAUAUUUUCUCCGCAUGGCGAGAAUAUUAAAGAAUUUCGGUUAUCGAUGGGGAUGCGUUCCAUUAGUUUGUUGGCGGGGUAACGGCCCACCAAGACUACGAUGGAUAGGGGUUCUGAGAGGAAGGUCCCCCACAUUGGAACUGAGACACGGUCCAA